ACUCCUACGGGAGGCAGCAGUAGGGAAUAUUGGUCAAUGGGUGAGAGCCUGAACCAGCCAUGCCGCGUGCAGGAAGACGGCCUUCUGGGUUGUAAACUGCUUUUACCAGGGGAUAAAAGACCAUGCGUGGUUAAUUGAAGGUACCUGGAGAAUAAGCACCGGCUAACUACGUGCCAGCAGCCGCGGUAAUACGUAGGGUGCAAGCGUUGUCCGGAUUUAUUGGGUUUAAAGGGUGCGUAGGCGGGCUAUUAAGUCAGUGGUGAAAUCCAGCAGCUUAACUGUUGAUGUGCCAUUGAUACUGGUAGUCUUGAGUACAGAUGAGGUAGGCGGAAUUGACAGUGUAGCGGUGAAAUGCAUAGAUAUUGUCAAGAACUCCGAUAGCGAAGGCAGCUUACUGGGCUGUAACUGACGCUGAUGCACGAAAGUGUGGGGAUCAAACAGGAUUAGAUACCCUGGUAGCGAGUAG
RNAcentral lists this ribosomal RNA (466 nucleotides) under uncultured bacterium. Its description in RNAcentral is "bacterial SSU rRNA". It matches the Rfam family "Bacterial small subunit ribosomal RNA", at positions 335 to 799 of the family's 1533-position model. The record is from RNAcentral.